Molecule: ribosomal RNA, 468 nt
Filed under: [Candida] sp. EN13M02
Lineage: Eukaryota; Fungi; Ascomycota; Saccharomycetes; Saccharomycetales
Description: eukaryotic LSU rRNA
Rfam family: Eukaryotic large subunit ribosomal RNA
Source: RNAcentral
GCGAGUGAAGCGGCAAAAGCUCAAAUUUGAAACCGGUUCGCCGGGUUGUAAUUUGAAGAUUGUGUUUUGGAGACGACCGUGUCUAUGUUCCUUGGAACAGGACGUCACAGAGGGUGAGAAUCCCGUGCGAUGCGGCCACCGUCUCUAUAUAAAACACUCUCAAAGAGUCGAGUUGUUUGGGAAUGCAGCUCAAAGUGGGUGGUAAAUUCCAUCUAAAGCUAAAUACUGGCGAGAGACCGAUAGCGAACAAGUACAGUGAUGGAAAGAUGAAAAGCACUUUGAAAAGAGAGUGAAACAGUACGUGAAAUUGUUGAAAGGGAAGGGCAUGCCGUCAGAUUGCCAGUAUCGGUUGGCUCGGGUGGAUAAAAGUGUUGGAACGUGGCCUUCGGGUGUUAUAGCCUUCACCAAUACACCCCGAUCGACCGAGGACUGCUUUUAGGAUACUGGCGUAAUGACGGUACGCCGCCC